AUCGAUGAAGAACGCAGCGAAAUGCGAUAAGUAAUGUGAAUUGCAGAAUUCAGUGAAUCAUCGAAUCUUUGAACGCACCUUGCGCUCCUUGGUAUUCCGAGGAGCAUGCCUGUUUGAGUGUCAUUAAUAUAUCAACCUUCUCUUUUUGAGUGGUUUGGAUGUGGGGGUUUGCUGGCCUCUUAAAAAGGUCUUGGCUCUCCUGAAAUACAUUAGCAGAACAACCCUGUUCAUUGGUGUGAUAACUAUCUACGCUAUUGAAUGUGAAGGGCAGUUUGGCUUUCUAACAGUCCUUGGACAAGCUCAUCAUUAAUGUGACCUCAAAUCAGGUAGGACUACCCGCUGAACUUAAGCAUAUCAAUAAGCGGAGGAAAAGAAACUAACAAGGAUUCCCCUAGUAACUGCGAGUGAAGCGGGAAAAGCUCAAAUUUAAAAUCUGGCGGUCUUUUGGCUGUCCGAGUUGUAAUCUAGAGAAGUGUUAUCCGCGCUGGACCGUGUACAAGUUUCCUGGAAUGGAGCAUCAUAGAGGGUGAGAAUCCCGUCUUUGACAUGGACUACCAGGGCUUUGUGAUGCGCUCUCAAAGAGUCGAGUUGUUUGGGAAUGCAGCUCAAAAUGGGUGGUAAAUUCCAUCUAAAGCUAAAUAUUGGCGAGAGACCGAUAGCGAACAAGUACCGUGAGGGAAAGAUGAAAAGAACUUUGGAAAGAGAGUUAAACAGUACGUGAAAUUGCUGAAAGGGAAACGCUUGAAGUCAGUCGCGUCAUCCAGGGAUCAACCUUGCUUUUGCUUGGUGCACUUUCUGGUUUGAUGGGUCAGCAUCAAUUUUGACCAUUGGAAAAAGGUCAAGGGAAUGUGGCAUCUUCGGAUGUGUUAUAGCCCUUGGUCACAUACAAUGGUUGGGAUUGAGGAACUCAGCACGCCGCAAGGCCGGGUUUUUAACCACGUUCGUGCUUAGGAUGCUGGCAAUAUGGCUUUAAUCGACCCGUCUUGAAACACGG
Molecule: ribosomal RNA, 994 nt
Filed under: uncultured Basidiomycota
Lineage: Eukaryota; Fungi; Basidiomycota
Description: eukaryotic LSU rRNA
Rfam family: Eukaryotic large subunit ribosomal RNA (bases 313-994)
Source: RNAcentral